Molecule: long non-coding RNA, 5011 nt
Organism: Dromaius novaehollandiae (emu)
Lineage: Eukaryota; Metazoa; Chordata; Aves; Casuariiformes; Dromaiidae
Exons: 4
Source: RefSeq, a predicted model, not a curated record
CGGCCCGGCGCCGCCCUCCGAGCCCGGCGGGCCGCCGCCGCGGCAGGGGGAGGCGCGGGCGCGGCGGCGCGCGGCGCGGCCCGGUCCGGCCCGGCGCGGUGCGGUGCGGUGCGGUCCGGUUCGAUCCGGUUCGGCGCGGUGCGGAGCGCUGCGUUCGGUAGUGCUUUCUGCCGCUCAUUCUGUCUACCACGUGGUCGGCUGCGGAGCUGUGAAGUUUUGUUCAAUGGUCUUUCUCUCAUUGUCCCAUAUACCAAUUAAUGUGGCUGGACAACUCUCCCUCUUACCUUGCAAGUGGAAAAGAAGAUGCAUGCUCUACAGUUUCAGAGGGAUAUAGGAUUUACCCACAAAGCUUCCUCUGACCUCUGAUUUGGAAACAUUUCCCCUUUCUAACUGUGGAAGUUAGAUUUCAAGUUCAUGUAAACAUUCCGAUAAACUGGGAACUCUGAGGUUUGGAAAACAUCUUGGCAAGCAAAAGAAAGGAAAUUGGCUCAGGGAAGGCAGAAUGAAGAAAUCCACAGUGACUUAGGACUGAUCAGUUUAUAUAGAUAGAAUAUGACAGCAGGACCAUAUUUAUACAGAUGUAUAUUCUCCACUCCUUUGCCGUUCUACUUUUAAUUGCUGCCAAAAGUAUGGUUUAUGCCAUUGCUUUAAGAAAUCCUUUGCAGUUUUAGUAGAUGUUAGUUAAGAAAACCUGCUUGAUAUUCACUCUUUUCCUUCCUUAGAUACGUUUCUUUGGACCAUCUUCAUUAAGGUGAUUGGUAGGGGAGAUUUAUAUUUGUGUGGAGGAAGAUGUAUACGUCUGCAGAUAGGACAGUAAAACAGAUGCUUCAGCAAGGUCGUAACAUUCAACAGAAGAAGGGUACAGAGUAAUUUUGAGUGAGAGGGUGCGAACUCCUAGAAGGUAAGAGCUGACUUAAAAGUCCCAGAUACUGAUCCACUGUUCUUCACAUCUGAUCAUUACACAGUUCUUUAGCAUCAUUCCAGCACUCGCAUUAGCAUUUCCUUGCUUGCACUAGCAGCAGGAUCAAGGCUUUAAUGCCACCUCUGCAUCUUGAGGAUUUAGUUCAAAAUCUGGUGUUUCUUCAGACCUCCCACAGAGGGAGGAUUUCCUGUGCCUCGAUCCUUCUGCCCUGCUCUAGAGUAGUCCCGCGCUGGAGUAUAUCUGUAACACUGACAGAAACCUAGAAAAAAAGGUUUGUGGGGGGGGUUUUUCACUCUCCUCCCGCACUCUGGUUUUGCUGUGACAUUGUCCAAUUAAAUGUAUCCCUGCCUCGGUUAGUUCUUUCUGUGUGGUUUCUGUUACGUUACUUCAGACUGCUUCCAUUUUCUGUUUUGUCCUACUUGUAACCAAUUUCAAUAAAGUUUUACUCGAAAAUGUGUCUGUGUGAACCUUGCUGUAUCCGGAUACAUUGGACUGAGUUGAACAGUGAAGUCCUCUUUGAGAGCUGCUACAGUUAUUUAUUUUUUAUUUGGUAUUUCAUAAAAUACGAUUGUUUGGUGCUUUUUAGCUUUUAAUUAUUCAGCAUCAUGGUAAGAAAGGUUUUUAUAAGCUCAAAAAUAUCUUACACCAAGUUUUGCCCAGGUUUGUUGUUAUUUGAUUUGGUUUAUCAGCGCAGAAAAACUGUUUUUUGGAGCACCUAAGUGACCAUUUGGGAUUCAGUGACAACAGCACUUAUUUCUGCUUCCAUUGACUUCAGUAGGAAUAGGAUAUGGCUUUCUGUGUGUGCGCAGUCCUGUCUGUUGUCUUACAGUAUUGUAUUUUACAUGCUGCUAUUUUAUAUUAAAAGCCAUUUUUAAAAGCCUGGACUUUUAGUUAUAGCCACUAAAUUGGAUAUAGGCCACAGACCCUAAUCUUGCAGAAAGAUAGCAGUUGUCCCUUCUAACGCCUGGUUUUAAGGGGGGUACAACGUAUCAUCGUCUGCACAGCUGGACCUCACUGGCCCGGAAGCGUCAGGCACAUCAGGUAUGCUAUGCAGUAGUCCCGAGGGCUGUGGGAAAAAAUGAGUUGACUUCGCUGGAAACUGAUUUGGGCGCAUAAUUGCUGAGUCAGCUUCCUGGCUGACCUGGAGGAAGGAAGUCGUGUUGGAGCUGCAGCAGCUUUCUUCAGCUCCGGAGCUACUUCCCUGUGCCUUUGUUUCCUUGCCUGGGAGACGGGGGUGGUAUGGAGCUUACCUGUCCACUGGAAUACCGCUGGAAUUAGUGGGUUCGCAAGGUGUCAGACCAGCAGAUACUGCUAGAUGUUUUAAUGCAGUCUGUAAAUUACUGGUGAUUACGUUUUAACCUGUUAUCCCUGUACUGAACAGCUAUGUUUUAGUCAAAGAAAACUCAAUCUUUCAGAAAAGAAUCCAGUCUUGAUUCAGUGAAUCUACUGUUUUUUAUUAAUACGUUACAGUACUAACAUUUUGCACCUUUUUUUUGUUUGAUUCUUUUCUAGUACAUUAAGGAGCUUUUUAAUACUCAGUAUUUUUUCCCAUUGAAGCUAUGUGCACAUAAUAAUCAAGUUGCCACUUAAUUUUAUUUUUAGUAAGCUCUAGAUAUAGAACUGUUCAUGUCUGUCAGUAUUAGGCAUUAUUUCCAUCACUGUGAUUGCCUUUGUAGCUCUUGUCUGCAUGACUGACUUUUUUAGUGUCCCCUUUAAAUGUGGAUACACAAAACCACAGCUAGAACUCCAGUUUUGUUCUUGCCAGUGCUGUAUGCAGAGCUAAAAUCACCUCCUCCUUCCUUCUAAGUACAUGGCACUUGCUCAAGCCCAGCUGGGUGCUGGAGAGUCACAGAUCAAACUGAGACUUAGCACAGACCGGUGCCCUUGGAAGAACCAGGCUACGCUAUUUCUUAUUUGUCCUUACCGAUUCUUUUGUGCAAGACUAAAUCCACAGUUAGGGAUAUUUGAAAUGUAAAAGUAAUUGGAAAGAAACAUAUAUUUUUCUGCAGCAUACUUGGGAAAUGUUUCCAUGUAAUUGAUGAGGUUCUUCUUGAGGUAGUUCACUUUUAAAGAUCACUACAUAAAAAAUGCCUUUGAAUGUGCAAUAUUGUAAAUCAAAACUGAUCACAAAGGGAAGUUAAAAUAAACAACUUAACUAUUGAAAAUACUCCUCACUACUUGCAGGGAUCAGGCUAGUGAAAUCAAGCAAGGAAGUAGCAAAUGUGCUCUUAGCUCCGUUGGUGUCAGUCCAAAGGAAUGCUACUACCCUGAAUGGAGCGAGUCUGGAGCAGUGUGUGUUCGCGCACUCUGGGAGGGAGGCUCUGCCUUACCUACAGGGGAUUAAAUGAAACAAUAUCAUACUAAUAAUUAAGUUUGAAGGCUCUCCUAAAAUCUGAUUCUUGUUAUAUUUUAUUUACAUUCUGUAGCAGAUGCUUUCGGGGAUGGAUGCAUCGGACUCUUGAGGCCAACACACCCUGUGAAUACUGUUUAAAAAAAGCAUGUAUGGCUUUCUUUCCACUUUGUUGUGUUGUCAGUUUGGUAGGACAACAGCACUGUGCAUGAGAAGUGGAAAGAGCAAAUAGACGUGUUCUUUAGCUGCCUACAGCCGGGAUCUGAUCAUGUCCCAUUCCUUGUGAUGGUAGCACUCGUGAGCCUGGAAUCAUUCAUGAUUCAACAAAAUUAUGUCUGUUGUAGCUGUGGCAACCCAGACCUUAGAAAGCAGCUUAUGACCUAAAGCUGAGGCUGCUUCUCUUUGAGUAUUGCUGGGGUUUUUUUCUUCCUCACUAAGCUAUGUUUAAUUGGCCAAGGGGAAAAAAAACAAAACAACUGUUCUUUGAUUAUGACAAUGUUUUGAUGUUUUGUAUUUUACCCAAACACAAUCUCAGUAACAGAAAAAACAGAAAUUGGAAACUCAGAUAAUGACAUUGAUAACAAGUUUUGUCAUUAAAGCACUGAAUGUUUUUUGCUGUUUCGCUACCAAAUCUGACCUUGAAUUUUGAUCUUCUUAUAGGCCUGUCUUUUCAGAGACCUUGCUUUGACCAGAAGGAUUAUACGAAUAGGAUGAGGAGGGUACAACUGGGAGUCCUCAGCAGGACAUGCAAUGGUAUGCAUAUCCAGGAGGAGAGAGAUUGUGUCUAAAGAAGGUCUUGAAAGCUGGAGUGUUCUAAAUUCCCAUUCCAAAGGAAAACCUACUUCUGCUGUGCCCUGCAUUCAGCUGUAAGUCUUGCCUGAAAUGCCGUAAAGCAGAUAUUACUGUGGAAUAAGCCACGCUGGUGAGAGACAUGUAGUUCCCAUUCACUUCCUUAAGCAUCAGGUGGUUUUGACCGGGAUGACUGGAAAAGCCCAUCUUUCCCUCGUCCUGCAAUAUCAGAUAGGAUUCAUUCCUUCUUAGGCCUUAAUGUCCCACAGCUGGCAACAGAGCUUCCUCCCUGGUGGCUCCUCACCUCUGCGAUACGCUCGCUUUGGCUUUACCUCUGAGACUUACCAGUGAUGAAGGACCAGUUUAUUUUGUGUGGUAUGUGGACUGAUAUUUUAUCUGAGAUUGCUUUAUGUGCAUAACAUGUGCUUUAGUGUUUUUGCAACUGAGGUGUUGUCCAAAUUAACAAAUGAUAUUAAUGAAUUCCUUCCUGUGUUUAAACAGACUCAGAUUCAGUAUUUUACUCAAAUUAGCAAAUUAUUAAGUCGGAUAAGAAUAAUACUGGGUUACAAAAUGUUCUUGCUUCACUGAUUUUGACAAUUGCAGUUUUAGUUUUAAUUAUUUAUAACAUCAUUGUACUAAUUUAAUAUAGCAUAUUUCUGUUCAGUAAUGAAAUUAGUGGUAUGAGACUGCAGCACUUGCUGUUAACACUUUGCUGAGUAAUAUGUACAUUAAUUGUAUUAGAGCAGCUUUAAAAUACAUAUGGACUCAAGGGUGAAGGUGUUUUAAACUUGCUUGUUCUUCAUGUAGGUAAAAAUAGUGUCAUGUAAGACUUGGUCUUAAGUAAGAAAAUCAGUGCGACUACUCAUGGGAGGAAAGUUCUAGUACUGUGAAAUCCUUUAAGUCUCUGUAGGGUCAGGCCUUAACCAGCAGACAUUAAAGAGCAUAUUUUG